CUUGAAAGAGCCAACUGUGACUUGCCAAAAUGCAAUUCCGUGUGGGUGAAAUGAAGUACAGCUGGAAAUAACAAACCCAUGACUGCCAUCAACAAUAAUCCUGAGUUCACAAUGGCAGUAGCCUUAUUAAAGACCUGAACUUUCUGCUGAUGAAUAAUUCCACCACUGAAGAAGGCACAGCCAAGAACCAAGAGCAUAUUUGAUAAAAUGGAACCCAGCAAGGACUGUUUAACAACCCGCAUCAUUCCAUUGUUCAAUGCAUAUAGCGAGAUUAUCAUUUCAGUUGCAUUUCCA
RNAcentral lists this unclassified non-coding RNA (294 nucleotides) under Hevea brasiliensis (rubber tree). Lineage: Eukaryota; Viridiplantae; Streptophyta; Magnoliopsida; Malpighiales; Euphorbiaceae. The record is from RNAcentral.